UUGAAUUUCACGAAUAUGUAGGUUGGAUGGACUCUUUCUCUCUUUUUUUUUUUUAUAUUUUUUUUUUUUUGUUUUUUUUUAAUAUCCUUGCUGGAGAUGAACUUAGCCACUUAGACUAAGAGUUUGUCAAACCCACCAAACUGAUCUUAUCUUGUAUUGUGUUUUGUAAAGGAAAGAUAAGAACUAAAACUCAUAUAGUCCAUAUCUUAAUGGAUAUAGAUAUCACACAUUCUUAUUUACAAAGGGUGUACAAUAUUUAUUGUACACCGUAAUAAAAGUUAACCCAAAAUGUUUAAAAGUUAAGCUUAUAUAGGUAAAAGUUAUCUAUUUUUUAGUGAUAAUUUUUUUCAUUUUAGUAAAACUUAUUUCUUCAAAAUCAAUAAUAAUGUAUAAAAUUAAUCAUUUUACCCUUUAAAAUAUUUAUCUAUCAACUUUUUUUACUAAUAUAAAAAUUAAUCAAAAUUAGGUUAAAGUUAUAAAAAAAUGGGUAAAAGUUAUGUUGGUGUACAAUAAAUUUAUUGUACACCUUGUGCGCGCAAGACCUUUUGUAUAAAUAUACACCCUUGCGAUGUUAUUUUCUUUCAAAUUGACGAAGACGAAGACGAAGACGAAGCCAAAGAGUCUGAUAGAAUUCAUCUACAACCCGGCCAAAACUCGACAUCAACAAUAUGGUAGGAGCCAUCUCGAUUCUCGAAGACGCAACCUUCCAUUCUCGAUACCUUGGAGCUACUUAACUUUUGUGCUUGCCAUCUUGACGUCGUGAAGGAGCCAAGGAGGUGAAGGAGCUGCAAAGCCACCUACGUUAACGCUACAGAGAUGGAGAUGAUGAGUUUACGCCAUGAAGGGAGGGGUCGGCGUUCUUGCUACCUUGGAGCCAUGCGCGGUCUUUUCACUUCUAGACACCAUCAAGGAGGAGAUGUCAUUCCCACCAAUGCCAUGAAGGAGGAGCCAUGGAGGAGGUCUUGUUAUUAUUUUUUGUUUGUUUUUCUUGCAGGUUAUGACCAAUCUACGGAGAUGAAGCUUCGUUCAACCACUAUGUCGUCUUGGAAACCGACCGGAGAAGGAUCCGACCUUGACGAUGUUGUAGCCCAUUGCAAUCACUCUUACGGUUCCCAUUGUCCUUGUUCGAACGUACAACAAUUGAAGACCGGAGAAGACCGACAAGAUCAUAAGAACAAGCUCCGUCCUUGACUUGCUAAUUAUUUAAUCACCAAAGAUAGGAGUUGUCAGUUUGAUCAAAGAUUUUUCGAGCCACCGCUACAGUCCGUCGCCUGUCCUCGUUGUUCAACAGACCAAAAUUGAGACCAUAGAAGUACAAGAAGGAGAAGUUCUGUCAUGUAACUUUUUUCCUUGAGAAGUACCGAGAAGGAGGAGCUCUGUCUGCUACUUAAUACCGUGAAGCUAUCGAGUAGAGCAUCGCUACCUUGAAGAAGACGAGAUGCAACUACCUUGAACAGUUUGCGCCCUUUGUCGAGGAGCUCACAGUCGUUUCAUCCGGGAAUAAAAUCACCAAUGUUAAUUUUAAGUAUCACUAUACUCCUGGAGGCAUUGUCACUGAUGGCAAUGCGGUCGAUGGAAGAAACUUUCGUUCACUUCCUCCUAUGACUGGUCCUUUUACAAAAAUCAAUAUUCGUACAGAGUUUUCGAGCCCGAAAAGCUAGUACAAGGAGUUAAAUGAUAUCAAUGUAUUUGGCGGCAAAACACCUAAAUCUGUCCUUCUCGCCCCACGUCACUGUCCCUGCGAUGAGGAUUGUUCCUUCCAGACGCGCUUCAAAGUUCAUUGAUGUGACAUCCUCCUAGCCAUGGUUGGUGCUAGAUAACGAUGAUCGAUUUGGUGCUUGAAAAUCUUGAUGUUUGAAAUGUUAAGUUGAUCCCGGUGUUGAAGAAUUUUGGCUGAAGGUUGGUGCAUAUAGAUUUCUCCAAUCUUCACAUUCAACAUUUUGGCCGGCCUGCAUGGUGCUUGGCGACUUUUGUCCGCUCUUUAAGAAAAUUUGGAGAAGUUUUGGUAAUUUUGUGAUGGUGCUUGGCGGCUUUCUCCAUCCUUCAAUUAUCUCUUUUGAACAUUUCUAGUGCUUGGAAGCUUUCCCCAGAUUUCCAUGUAGUUUUCGCGAACCCCUGGUGCUUGAAAGCUUUCUCCAGAUCUCUGGCCCGAGGUGUUUGGUGCUUUUGAGCUUUCUCCAAACUUUAAGUAAAGUCGGGUCAUCAUUUGACAAAAUUAAUUUUGGAAGACAAAGUAAAACAAUUUAUUUGUUGGUUACUCAUGCCCCUGUUGUCGUACUUCAUUUUAAAAACAUUUUGUGUUUUUCAAAACAUAUGUACUCUUUUACUUUUUUUUUAUUUUUUUAUGGAAUACAAUUUCAAAAUUUAAAUUA
Molecule: long non-coding RNA, 2372 nt
Organism: Spinacia oleracea (spinach)
Lineage: Eukaryota; Viridiplantae; Streptophyta; Magnoliopsida; Caryophyllales; Amaranthaceae
Exons: 2
Source: RefSeq, a predicted model, not a curated record